AAGACACCCUUGUGGGGCAAGACUUGCUUCAGUGGGGCUUUGGUGCUCACUGAGUCUGCCCCCUGAGAGUGCACUU
RNAcentral lists this microRNA precursor (76 nucleotides) under Myotis lucifugus (little brown bat). Its description in RNAcentral is "mir-9229 microRNA precursor family". It matches the Rfam family "mir-9229 microRNA precursor family". The record is from Rfam by way of RNAcentral. Lineage: Eukaryota; Metazoa; Chordata; Mammalia; Chiroptera; Vespertilionidae.